ACAUUUUUGUACCAAAGUAAAUUUGUAUUUAAUUCCUUUUUGAAUAAAUCUUUUGAAACAUCCUCAUAUAUGGCCAAAUUUUCAGAUAGACUCUUUUCCAAUAACCUUGCACAUGAUAAAGCUGCUGAACACUGAUAUGUUUAUAUUCUACUGUGGAGAUAGGCAAUAAAUAGAGUAACUGUAUGGUUCAGACACAAGCAGUUUGGUAGUUUUGAUGAAAGGCAAUAAGGUGGAUCUACCUUGACUGUUUCUGUUUUGUCAGUGAAAUACAAGUUAAGGCAUGAACUGAGAGAGAGAAGAAACAGUGCUAGAGACAAGAUAGAAGAGAAGUUGAGAAAUUUGUUCUUUACUGAAUGAAAGACUAACUUUAAGGUAGGAUUGUUGGGCAGACCUGAGGAAACACUUUUGUGUUUUAGACCAGACACACGCACACACACACAAAUAUCAAAUUACAGGGACAAAAGAAGAAGUGAAAUCUCAAAAAUUUAAGCAUGUAAGAAACUGAUUAGCCCUAAGGAUAUGUACUUGGGCAAAUGGAAUGUUGAUGCAUACCACAAAAGUCUGGAGUUCUAGGGAAGAAUUGGGGCUGGAGAUAGAAAUUCCAGAACACCAGUGUGCAAGCCGCUAAAUGCCACAGGACAGAAGGGAAUGAGCACAAGAGGAGUUCAUUUGCACACAGGGAAGUAUUUGGGGACUGAGCCUUUGCUGUUGCCAGCAAGAAUCAGCCUGGAAGACAGGAGAAGCCAGGCAAAGCUUCUGUUACAUGGUUCCGUUUGUUACUCAUCUGAACAAACCAAGGGUCAGCCAACCCUGAGAAGACUUUGGAUCUCAUUGAAUUACAACUUGUAUUGUGAAAAACAAUACCUUUCCUGGCAUGGACUUCUAAAAAAAGUGAACAUUUACUCAGCAUUUUCUCACUGACAAAGGACAUUGACAAGCAGGUGAAGAGUGUGGAUGCAGUGAAGCUUCCGCCCCGGAACUGGUGGUUUAGAGACCAGAUAGGUUUGUAGCUCUGAUCCUAACCUAGUGCAGCUCUCCCUUUAGGCCAGCCGCAUUGGACUCUGGGCACUCUUCCAGCCAAAAGUGAAUUAGGAAGCUACAUCUGUUCACUUUCACCCUCACCUAACACAUAUCCUUGUGCCUCUUGAUUGCAUUCAGUAGUAAACUUAAGUGGAUGAAACCUUGAAUCAAGACCAAAUCAUCAUUCCCACCAACCUUCAAGUGCAGAGAAGCCUGGUGUUACUUUCCUGAUCUCACUUGUAAAGCAAAUGAAAUACAUGCACAGUGUGUACCUUUUACUUAACAGCAGUAGGUUUCGAACAUUUUAUGGCGAGUGUUUGAUGACUGUUUCAGGUGUUGCUGAAAAGUAUAAGAAUGCCAGGGUAAUUGUGAAAAGGAGCAUGUCCCCAUGUGGCUUUGAACAGUGACAUUCCCUAUUAGUAAGACUGGAGAAUUAAGUGUCAAGGCUCACUCUUUUAUUUUUUUAAGAGUUAUUUUAUUUUGUUUUGCUUUUUUGCUAUUUAUUUUAUUUUGAAAGAGUUACAAAGAAAGAGAAGGAGAGACAGAGAGAGAGGUUUUCCAUCUGUUGAUUAAAUACUCAGAUGACCAAAACAACCAGGGCUGGGCCAGGCCAGGAGACAGGAGCAAGGAGCCAGAAGCCAGGAACUUCUUUGGGAUUUUCCAUGGGCAGAGGGGCCCAAGGACUGGGCCAUACCUCUACCGCUUUUCCAGGCUUAUUAGCAGGGACCUGGCUUUGAAGUAGAGAAGCCAGUACUUGAACCAGCUCCCAUAUGGAAUGCUAGUGAAUCAGAUGCUUAACCUUCUGUGCCACAGCCCCAAUCACAAGGCUGUUUCUUUCAUGGAAGAGGCAACUGCAUGACAGUUUUCUAUUUCUCUGUUUAAUAAAAUUGGGAAAAUAAACACAUAGAUCACUCAAUAUUUACCUUUUCAUUAUGGUUUAGCUCAUAAAGUCUCACUAGUAUUCUACCACUUUCCUUUAGUGAUUCUUUCUCUGCAGAUAUGUAAUAAGAAUCUUUUCUAGGGGAAUUGUGCUGUGGUAAAGCAGGUAAAGCCACUUCACGAAUGCGAGCAUCUCAUAUGAACGUAAGUUGCAGUCCCAGCUGCUCCACCUCCAGUCCAGCUCUCUGCUAACAGCCUGAGAAAAGCAACAGACGAUGGUUCAAGUGUUUGGGCCCCUAGUGCCCACAUGGGAGAUUUGAAAAAAGCCCCUGGCUUCUGGCUUCAGCCUGACCCAGUGCUGACCACUGCAGCCAUCCGGGGAGUGAACCAGGGGAUGAAAAACCUCUCUGUCUCUCCCUGUAUCUCUGUAACGCUGACUUUCAGAUAAAUAAAUAAAUACUUGAAAAAAAAAUCUUCGUUAUGUAUUUGACUUGUGAACAUUAAGCUUUUGUCCUGUAUUUUGCUGUUGAUUUCUAUGUGACACCACAAGCAAUAAUACUUAGGGUCGCUCCUUUUAAAUUAAGUCUUAUAAUUGUUCAUUGGAACUAUGGCAACAGUUAUACCCAAUAAGUUAAAGAUCAAAAACAGAACCAUAGGGUCAUUGCAAUGAAUAUUUUGACAUAGACAUGAAACUUUUCAGCCUGCUCAGUGUCACUGAAAUGUUAAUCAUAGCUUUUAAUUUUCAUAAUAGCUUCUCUUAUGUGGUUACCUUUGUUGUUCAACCAAACAAGUCAAGAUUCAGACAUCAAAUUAUGCUUAGACUGAAGAUCUUUCCCAGCAACACUGCAUGGAAUAGAUUUCUCUUGGAAGAGAAAAUAUUUAAAUUUGAAUGUGCAGUGGUUAAAUAUAAGCCAAAAAUAAAAUCUGAUAUGUUAUUAUCAAGUAAUAAUUUUAUAAAACAACUUAUUCCUGUCUCCCAGUUUACCAGAGAAGAGCAAAAAGAAGCCAAAAUACUGAAGCUAAUCCUUUGCAAGGAUAGAUUCUUCUGUAGAGUGAUUUUCCAAAAAAAUCCCUGGAAUAGUCUUAAAAAUCUAUGUCUUUAGUUUAUUUAUCAGAAUAGACAUUCCUGAAGUUGAUUCCAAACUUGUUAACAUAUAGAUACAUAUUUUUCAGCAAUAUUUGGUUCUUAGAUCAUGAAAUGCUUUUAACUAUGCUGAAAAACAAGAUAAAUUAUCCGAUUUAUUCAUUAACUGCUUAUUUACAUUUGCUGAUGUGAAUAUUUUAGAGUACAAAAGGAAAAUUGCUCAGAGACAAUUUUCAAUGACAUUUUUUCCUGCCAGUGCCAAUGAUUUCUUUUUUAUGUCCAUUUAUUUGGCAAAAGAAGCUGGUUUUGUUGUUGCCAUUUUUUUUUCCUGUAGACGAUAAAACUACUCUUAAUUUUCUUAUUUACAAAUGUCGUCCCUUGUGUCCUUUGUAAGGCAUUGAAAUGAAUUUCAAAGAUACCUUCCUUCAUUAUUAUUUUGCAGCUGUCCCUAAAAUGCCUGAAAAGUUGCAAAUAUUCUUUACCAAAAUAGAUCUGCUACCUAAUCAAUAGAGUAGUGAAAUACUUAAACAAAUGCAAAAGAAAAUCUCAAGACUACA
This is a non-coding RNA of Oryctolagus cuniculus (rabbit), 3540 nucleotides long. The record is from RefSeq and is a predicted model, not a curated record. NCBI's taxonomy places the organism in Eukaryota, Metazoa, Chordata, Mammalia, Lagomorpha, Leporidae.